GUCACCUGACAUUUAAAAUAAUCAACCAAGGAGUUUAAAGCCGGUAUCUGAUAAAUCCUCACACAGCAUUGAUGUCUGGAUAUAAAACUAUAACACACAACUCUCAGAUGGAAUGUUUUGUCGGAACAUGAAUGACGUCUGCGUUUGCUAUUUUUAACAGUUUCAUUCUUGUUCCUUUCGGCUGAUUUGUAGCAAAAACGGGGAGUUUUUAACUUGUUCAUUUAAAAACUAUUUAAAUGUAUUGUGCUUCUUAUUCUUUUAGGCAAAUACUGUGUCUCCAUCUCUGACUUUUUUUUAACAAAUUUCCAUCAAAAUAAUCUUCGUCCUUGAUCAGCACAACUUCAGGAAGCUGCAGGCACCACAAAACCAUCAUCAUCAUCAUCAUCAUCAUCGUGAUGGACCUAAAAGCAAAAACAUGAAAGGAUUCGAGUGAGGAGUUUAAAUAUCUCCAAAAACAUGAACUCCACCAACAUUGAGCUUCACUAAACAUCUUCACUUGGAAACGACGUAAAGUCAUGAACACUGUCAGACUCACGUGAGUUUAUUUUGAAAGGACAGGAGCUCGUUUCAAAGCAAUUUCAGGGAAAAACAAAGAAUCCAAAAGGUAUGGAAGCCCGGAAGGGCCAAGAGGUGAACGUUAGCUGUAAUUUCACAGUAAUACCUGUAUUAUUAUGACGGUCUAGUAACGUUUUUAUUUCAAGCUAAUAUUUUGUGGUUUUGUGAUAAACUAUAUUUCAGUUAAAGCGGACAUAUAAGAAGUUGUUUUUUGUUAUAUAGUACGAGUGCAAAUUGAGUUUUUUAAACAGAGAACAAGAAGAAAUUUUCCUUGCUUCCUAGUCCCGCGUGCGUGUUCAGAUGUUCCGUCCGCGUGGUUACCUGUUCC
This is a long non-coding RNA of Oryzias melastigma (Indian medaka), 883 nucleotides long. RefSeq lists it as uncharacterized. The transcript is spliced from 3 exons. The record is from RefSeq and is a predicted model, not a curated record. Lineage: Eukaryota; Metazoa; Chordata; Actinopteri; Beloniformes; Adrianichthyidae.